Odocoileus virginianus texanus is the source of this 1017-nucleotide non-coding RNA. Lineage: Eukaryota; Metazoa; Chordata; Mammalia; Artiodactyla; Cervidae. The record is from RefSeq and is a predicted model, not a curated record.
GGUCCUGACGCCACAACGCAUCUCCAGGCAGCCCGCCCCCCUCGCAACAUCCGUCACCUGACCCGGCCAUAUCAGGAACCGCCACGGUCCGGCUCGCGUCCCUGCUUCCCUGUCCCCCUCCCUUUAUUCCUCGCGCCCCUCGCUGGCGAGGGGGGCGGGGGGUCCUCCCUUUCUUCAAACCGGAUUAUUUAUAAAACAAAAAGAAAGGGGGAAAAAAAACGCGAAGUCAUCUCCUGGCUCUAUCCGCCAUUCAGGAGGCUGGAUGUCAGUUUUUGAAAGAAAUGGCGCUACGCUCCACUUCUAGAUUUGGGAAACGAGCGGAAUUAAAGGAAACUGCUGCGACAUCUGGACACUGCGUGGCGCUGGCGCCGCUGGAGCGGCGGGCCCCGCGCCGGACCAGGGCUCCCUCAGACUUUCCUGACCAUCCAGGCUCCAUGCUGAGGCUGCUUGCCACCCUUGUGUGACAAUGAAUGCGCUUUCUCGUUCUUCACAAGGUGAGAAGACUGAGGCCUAGACGGACUAAAAUCUUGGAUACUUUAUGACCUGCAAGUGCCAAGGCUGGAAUCAUUAAGAAAGUCUUUGGACUAAAAUCCUUGUGCCCUUUCUGUUGUUCUACAGGCUAGAGUCAACAGGAAGUGAGCUUUUGAUGGGUCAUUUUUGGCCUAAAAAUGAACUUUGUAGAUUUGAGUGUUUGAAUGGAGGAAAAUGAUUUUUUACUUUUAAAAAUGAUUUCUAUUUUGGAUCAGCAAAUUCAUUCCACAGGCAGAGAUAGGAGUGGGCAUUUUACUAAUGAUUUGUCUGUACCAUCCAACUCUACUACCUCCAGCCAUGAUGUCCUAGAGACAGCUAGCUUUUUCCCUCAGGUAUCUCUUAAUAUCAAAAUUCUGUAAGAAAUUUUCCUAAUAUUGCACAUGCUCAAACUAAAAAUCCCAAAGGUGUAAGACACAGGAUACUAUAAGUAAGAUUUUAAAACUAUUAUUUGAACAUAUAUACAAAAGAUUAACUCUUAGAAUAUAU